CCUACGGGGCGCUGCAGUGGGGAAUAUUGGACAAUGGGCGAAAGCCUGAUCCAGCCAUGCCGCGUGUGUGAAGAAGGCCUUCGGGUUGUAAAGCACUUUCAGUGGGGAAGAAAGCCUUGGGGCUAAUACCCUCGAGGAAGGACAUCACCCACAGAAGAAGCACCGGCUAACUCCGUGCCAGCAGCCGCGGUAAUACGGAGGGGUGCGAGCGUUAAUCGGAAUUACUGGGCGUAAAGCGCGCGUAGGCGGUCUGAUAAGCCGGUUGGGAAAGCCCCGGGGCUCAACCUGGGAACGGCAUCCGGAACGUCAGGCUUGGGUUGCGGAGAGGAAGGUAGAAAUCCCGGGGGAGGGGGGAAAUGCGGUGAGGUCGGGAGGAAUAACCGGGGCGAAGGGCGGCUUUCGGGACGGAACCGGAGGCGGGGUGGGAAAGGGUGGGUAGCAAACAGGAUUAGAUACCCUGGUAGUC
RNAcentral lists this ribosomal RNA (466 nucleotides) under Vreelandella stevensii. RNAcentral describes it as "partial 16S ribosomal RNA". It matches the Rfam family "Bacterial small subunit ribosomal RNA", at positions 338 to 795 of the family's 1533-position model. The record is from RNAcentral. Lineage: Bacteria; Pseudomonadati; Pseudomonadota; Gammaproteobacteria; Oceanospirillales; Halomonadaceae.